Molecule: long non-coding RNA, 597 nt
Organism: Limulus polyphemus (Atlantic horseshoe crab)
Lineage: Eukaryota; Metazoa; Arthropoda; Merostomata; Xiphosura; Limulidae
Exons: 3
Source: RefSeq, a predicted model, not a curated record
GUUUUUUUAAUAUACAGUCAUCACCUGCCAAACCCCUCCUGUACCAUCCUAUGGUUCUGUGGACAUCAAACCCCCAAGUAGGACAAACUCAAUAAGUCGUAUUGGGUCGCCAUUCUUGAGGUUGCCACGGUUACCCCUCCCUUUAGCCAGAGCAGCCAAACCUCCUCCAAAAGCCAGAUCCUCACCACCCUCUACUGUGGACUUGGCUUCCAAGGUCAAACUGCCUGAAGGUCAUUACCGAGUGGGAUCUCGAGCCAGUUACACGUGCGAGUCAAGAUACUACGAACUGCUUGGAUCCCAAGGUAGAAGAUGCAACUCUAAUGGAAAGUGGAGUGGUCGACCAGCAAGCUGUAUACCAGUUUGUGGACGGUCAGACUCUCCCCGUUCUCCUUUCAUCUUCAAUGGAAAUUCCACCGAAAUAGGUCAGUGGCCGUGGCAGGCAGGAAUCUCUAGAUGGCUUGCAGAUUAUAAUAUGUGGUUUCUUCAGUGUGGAGGAGCCCUACUGAAUGAGAAAUGGAUCAUUACUGCAGCCCACUGUGUCACCUACUCUGCUACUGCCGAGAUCAUUGACCCAAGUCAGUUUAAAUUCUACCUGGG